AGUAACGCGUGGGUAACCUGCCUUAUACAGGGGGAUAACAACCAGAAAUGGUUGCUAAUACCGCAUAAGCGCACAGGACCGCAUGGUCCGGUGUGAAAAACUCCGGUGGUAUAAGAUGGACCCGCGUUGGAUUAGCUAGUUGGCGGGGUAACGGCCUACCAAGGCGACGAUCCAUAGCCGGCCUGAGAGGGUGAACGGCCACAUUGGGACUGAGACACGGCCCAGACUCCUACGGGAGGCAGCAUG
RNAcentral lists this ribosomal RNA (246 nucleotides) under uncultured bacterium. RNAcentral's name for it is "partial 16S ribosomal RNA". It matches the Rfam family "Bacterial small subunit ribosomal RNA", at positions 109 to 353 of the family's 1533-position model. The record is from RNAcentral.